AACUCUACACAUUCAGGGAUUAUCUCUUUAGUUCAUUACUAGAGAAGUUUAUCUGAUCAUGUAGAGAGCCUGAAACCACAAGGAGGAGCUAGGGCAUCCUCGCCUGAGUGGGAAGCUGGUUCUAGGUGUUGCUUUUGCAACUGCAUUUGCAUUUUACCAAGAUGAUCUGAUCAUUCUUCUUGUUCUUUGGAAGAGAAAGAGGGAGAGGAUGCAGUCUAGUCUGAGUGG
This 228-nucleotide small nucleolar RNA is filed under the name Sorex araneus (European shrew). Its description in RNAcentral is "Small nucleolar RNA U3 (ENSSARG00000016217.1)". It matches the Rfam family "Small nucleolar RNA U3". Rfam says of the family: Small nucleolar RNAs (snoRNAs) are involved in the processing and modification of rRNA in the nucleolus. Lineage: Eukaryota; Metazoa; Chordata; Mammalia; Eulipotyphla; Soricidae. The record is from RNAcentral.